This 1364-nucleotide long non-coding RNA is filed under the name Lathyrus oleraceus (garden pea). Its description in RNAcentral is "Pisum sativum (pea) long non-coding RNA (PSAT_LNC019957)". Lineage: Eukaryota; Viridiplantae; Streptophyta; Magnoliopsida; Fabales; Fabaceae. The record is from RNAcentral.
UAGCAUUAGAUAUGAAAUCAGGAUAAUUGAAGCACUAAUUACGUGGGAACUGAAUUACAACCACUACGUUCUAAUUUUCACCAUGCACCAAAGUUAUAUCUACAAACCACUUAUAAAAUGAGGCUGAAAUUACUGAAGCAUCUUAAACACAUGGUAGUAGCAAAAACGAAGUGUAGAAGCGAGAACAACACGCCAUUAAGAGCCUUAUUAAACCAAUACCUCAUGCCAGCAUUUUACCAAAGUACACACCAUUAUUAAACAAAUAAGUUCAACUAAUCAAUAAACCAAUUCUGAAAAAUAAUUAGCAAAUUUCUACUAAUUAACCAAUCAAGGUAACAACGUUACUGCAAUGUAUAAUAAGUUUAAACUUUAAUUCUGAAGCUCUCAUUUAAUACAUACAACUUCUCCUAGUGUUUUACCCAAAGAUGUCAACAAACAAAACAAUUGAUAACAGUAUGAAAUCAAAUCCUCAAUUAAUCUUGUAAUAAACACGACAACUUCAACACAUAACGACAACAGCACAAUCGCAUUGGGAAUAUCCUAGAAAAGAGCAUUACAACAUUCUAAUACCAACAACCAACAUGGACUAAUGCAACCGAGUUUGAAUCAAAACAGUGGCUGUAGCAAACAGCAUAAUAUCAAGAAGAAACACGACACGGACUGUUACCGUAACUAUAAACAAAUUUAAUCCUGCAGCAAGAAAAUGAUAUCGUUAACAUGUACCAAAUCCCUCGUAAAUAAUGCCAAACUGCUUCGAUACAACUCAAUAUGAAGUUCAAUAUUUCUAUGAAAUCACCAUGAUGCAAUUAGCAAGACUUAAAGAGAAUAAUAGUAACACAAAUACUGGAUAUAACAAUGAACAAAAUCCUUUCCCAAAAUUAAAUGUAAACAGCAUAAACUUAAAUUUAACGCCUUGACAGAAAUAUUACCCAAAUCGACCAAGCUAUCACUUUCUGUCCGCUGCUCUGAGUCUGUUGGGGCGUAUCGUCCUUCCUUCGCUGUUUGGGACGUCCCUUCGAAACUGAGUUUCUACCCGUGGCCUUCAAGUGCAAUUCACAACAGCUCAUAUGUUUCUCCCACUUGUACAGGUUCAAUAGCCUUCCUGGAAAUUGCUUUAAGGUUCAUUGAAAACUAAAAACAAGGUAUAAACCAAACAGAACUGCAACUCAAACGCGACGGUGACGAUGUAACGUUCGUCGGAAAGGUUUUUUUUGUGAAUUUCGAAAGGGACGAAAUGAAGUGAGGAUUUGGGGGUUUUGCAAGGCGGAGGUUAAUCGGUGUAUUUCGGCGGAUGAAAUGGGGAAGACGAUUGAUGGUUUAGAUGUUACGGCGUGGAGGUUGUAUGGUGUUCGUUGGGGUUUNNN